This 247-nucleotide ribosomal RNA is filed under the name uncultured Eubacteriales bacterium. Its description in RNAcentral is "uncultured Clostridiales bacterium partial 16S ribosomal RNA". It matches the Rfam family "Bacterial small subunit ribosomal RNA", at positions 796 to 1041 of the family's 1533-position model. Lineage: Bacteria; Bacillati; Bacillota; Clostridia; Eubacteriales. The record is from RNAcentral.
CACGCCGUAAACGAUGGGUACUAGGUGUUGGGGGUUUCGACGCCCUCAGUGCCGCAGUAAACACAAUAAGUACCCCGCCUGGGGAGUACGGUCGCAAGACUGAAACUCAAAGGAAUUGACGGGGGCCCGCACAAGCGGUGGAGCAUGUGGUUUAAUUCGACGCAACGCGAAGAACCUUACCAAGACUUGACAUCCCUCUGACCGGACUUUAAUAGGUCCUUUCCUUCGGGACAGAGGAGACAGGUGG